GUGGAGAUGGCCGAGUUGGUCUAAGGCGCCAGAUUAAGAUUCUGGUCCGAAAGGGCGUGGGUUCAAAUCCCACUCGCUACA
RNAcentral lists this transfer RNA (81 nucleotides) under Corchorus capsularis. Its description in RNAcentral is "tRNA CCACVL1_10225". It matches the Rfam family "tRNA". Rfam says of the family: Transfer RNA (tRNA) molecules are approximately 80 nucleotides in length. The record is from Rfam by way of RNAcentral. Lineage: Eukaryota; Viridiplantae; Streptophyta; Magnoliopsida; Malvales; Malvaceae.